AAGCAUCUGGCCUACACCCAGAAGAUUUCACAACAAAUGGACAUCAUGA
This 49-nucleotide transfer RNA is filed under the name Myodes glareolus (Bank vole). RNAcentral's name for it is "partial tRNA-Val". Lineage: Eukaryota; Metazoa; Chordata; Mammalia; Rodentia; Cricetidae. The record is from RNAcentral.